RNAcentral lists this ribosomal RNA (514 nucleotides) under uncultured bacterium. RNAcentral describes it as "partial 16S ribosomal RNA". It matches the Rfam family "Bacterial small subunit ribosomal RNA", at positions 28 to 523 of the family's 1533-position model. The record is from RNAcentral.
GAUGAACGCUGGCGGCGUGCCUAAUACAUGCAAGUCGAGCGAACAGAGAAGGAGCUUGCUCCUUCGACGUUAGCGGCGGACGGGUGAGUAACACGUGGGCAACCUACCUUAUAGUUUGGGAUAACUCCGGGAAACCGGGGCUAAUACCGAAUAAUCUGUUUCACCUCAUGGUGAAAAACUGAAAGACGGUUUCGGCUGUCGCUAGAGGAUGGGCCCGCGGCGCAUUAGCGAGUUGGGGAGGUAACGGCUCACCAAGGCGACGAUGCGUAGCCGACCUGAGAGGGUGAUCGGCCACACUGGGACUGAGACACGGCCCAGACUCCUACGGGAGGCAGCAGUAGGGAAUCUUCCACAAUGGGCGAAAGCCUGAUGGAGCAACGCCGCGUGAGUGAAGAAGGAUUUCGGUUCGUAAAACUCUGUUGUAAGGGAAGAACAAGUACAGUAGUAACUGGCUGUACCUUGACGGUACCUUAUUAGAAAGCCACGGCUAACUACGUGCCAGCCGCCGCCGUAA